CAUUAAGAAGCUUUCACGAUAAGCAAUAGCCUUUU
Molecule: transfer RNA, 35 nt
Filed under: Oedipina taylori (Taylor's worm salamander)
Lineage: Eukaryota; Metazoa; Chordata; Amphibia; Caudata; Plethodontidae
Description: partial tRNA-Lys
Source: RNAcentral